This 445-nucleotide ribosomal RNA is filed under the name uncultured Methanomicrobiales archaeon. Its description in RNAcentral is "bacterial SSU rRNA". It matches the Rfam family "Archaeal small subunit ribosomal RNA", at positions 894 to 1338 of the family's 1478-position model. Lineage: Archaea; Methanobacteriati; Methanobacteriota; Methanomicrobia; Methanomicrobiales. The record is from RNAcentral.
CCUGCGGUUUAAUCGGACUCAACGCCGGGAAACUCACCAGAUAAGACAGCUGAAUGAUAGUCGGGCUGAAGACUCUACUUGACUAGCUGAGAGGAGGUGCAUGGCCGUCGUCAGUUCGUACUGUGAAGCAUCCUGUUAAGUCAGGCAACGAGCGAGACCCACGCCAACAGUUGCCAGCUCGUCCUCCGGGAUGGAGGGGACACUGUUGGGACCGCCUCUGCUAAAGAGGAGGAAGGAAUGGGCAACGGUAGGUCAGCAUGCCCCGAAUUAUCUGGGCUACACGCGGGCUACAAUGGGUGGGACAAUGGGUAUCGACACCGAAAGGUGAAGGCAAUCUCCUAAACCCAUCCGUAAUUCGGAUUGUGGGCUGCAACUCGCCCACAUGAAGCUGGAAUCUGUAGUAAUCGUGUCUCAAAAUGGCACGGUGAAUAUGUCCCUGCUCCUU